UGGGGAAUAUUGGACAAUGGGCGCAAGCCUGAUCCAGCCAUGCCGCGUGAACGAUGAAGGCCUUAGGGUUGUAAAGUUCUUUUGUCAGGGAAGAUAAUGACGGUACCUGAAGAAUAAGCACCGGCUAACUUCGUGCCAGCAGCCGCGGUAAUACGAAGGGUGCUAGCGUUGUUCGGAAUCACUGGGCGUAAAGCGCGCGUAGGCGGCGAUAUAAGUCAGAGGUGAAAGCCUGGAGCUCAACUCCAGAACUGCCUUUGAAACUAUAUUGCUAGAGUGUCGGAGGGGAUAGCGGAAUUGCUAAUGUAGAGGUGAAAUUCGUAGAUAUUAGCAGGAACACCGGUGGCGAAGGCGGCUAUCUGGACGACAACUGACGCUGGGGUGCGAAAGCGUGGGUAGCAAACGGGAUUAGAUACCCCUGUAGUCCCUGAGCGGGCUGGCAAGGCGCAU
Molecule: ribosomal RNA, 447 nt
Filed under: uncultured bacterium
Lineage: Bacteria
Description: bacterial SSU rRNA
Rfam family: Bacterial small subunit ribosomal RNA
Source: RNAcentral